Molecule: ribosomal RNA, 482 nt
Filed under: uncultured bacterium
Lineage: Bacteria
Description: partial 16S ribosomal RNA
Rfam family: Bacterial small subunit ribosomal RNA
Source: RNAcentral
GAUGAACGCUAGCGGCAGGCCUAAUACAUGCAAGUCGAACGAGAUUAAGAGGCUUGCUUCUUAUGAAAGUGGCGCACGGGUGCGUAACGCGUAUGCAACCUACCUUAAUCAGGGGGAUAGCCCGAAGAAAUUCGGAUUAAGACCGCAUAAAAACACAGGAUAGCAUUAUCCAAUGUUCAAAUAUUUAUAGUAUUAAGAUGGGCAUGCGUGUCAUUAGCUAGUUGGCGGGGUAACGGCCCACCAAGGCGACGAUGACUAGGGGAUCUGAGAGGAUGACCCCCCACAAUGGUACUGCGACACGGACCAGACUCCUACGGGAGGCAGCAGUAAGGAAUAUUAGUCAAUGGAGGGAACUCUGAACCAGCCAUGCCGCGUGCAGGAAGACAGCCCUCUGGGUCGUAAACUGCUUUUAUUCGGGAAUAAACCUUUCUACGUGUAGGAAGCUGAAUGUACCGAAGGAAUAAGGAUCGGCUAACUCCGUG